Molecule: long non-coding RNA, 669 nt
Organism: Dreissena polymorpha
Lineage: Eukaryota; Metazoa; Mollusca; Bivalvia; Myida; Dreissenidae
Exons: 5
Source: RefSeq, a predicted model, not a curated record
GAUAUCAACGAAUGCAUGGAGGGUGAAAAUGAUUGUGUGGGUACGUGCGUCAAUACUUACGGCUCAUACACAUGCGAAUGUGAUGGUACAAGCCCGUAUGCGGAUCAUAAUUGUAGAGCCAUUAACGAGUGUAAGAACCCAGAGUUGAACAGCUGUACACAACAAUGCAUCAAAAUGGAGACUUCGUAUAGAUGUGACUGCUACCUAGGAAACGCCCUUAUUAACUUUAACACGUGCAUAGCGUGUGGCAUGGGUUAUUAUCGAGACACGGACAGCGUGGAAUGCGUGGCGUGUCCUCCAAACUCGGUCACCGAAGGCGACGGUUCGACAUCCCUGGCCGAUUGCACAUGUGAAGAGGGUUCUUCUAAGGAGUUUACAACACUGUGUUGUUUCAAGGGCACAUACCUGGCAACCUGAGAUCUGACCGUGAGUGUAGCCCGAGCACAGUGUGGAGUUGGUGUUCACAUGUGUCUCAAGACUUUGUUGGUUGAUGUUCUUAGAGCAGAAGUCAUCGUUGUACAGCCGCAUCUUGGCCUCACGCAGCCCCAUCCUGCAAGAAAGCACUGGAGAUUGGUGGGCACAGGAGCACUGAUUUCUGGUAGACAAAUGGGCUGAACAAAGUCCCCAAACUUCACAGCAGAAGACAGUUUGAGGAGGGCCAUAUCCCAG